This 688-nucleotide ribosomal RNA is filed under the name Macrococcoides caseolyticum. RNAcentral's name for it is "bacterial SSU rRNA". It matches the Rfam family "Bacterial small subunit ribosomal RNA", at positions 29 to 703 of the family's 1533-position model. The record is from RNAcentral. Lineage: Bacteria; Bacillati; Bacillota; Bacilli; Caryophanales; Staphylococcaceae.
GGGGACGGGGGGGGAGCCUAUCUGCAGUCGAGCGAACGGACGAGAGUGCUUGCACUCUCUGAUGUUAGCGGCGGACGGGUGAGUAACACGUGGGUAACCUACCUAUAAGACUGGGAUAACUUCGGGAAACCGGAGCUAAUACCGGAUAAUAUUUAGCUUCGCAUGAAGCAAUAGUGAAAGACGGUUCUGCUGUCACUUAUAGAUGGACCCGCGGUGUAUUAGCUAGUUGGUGAGGUAACGGCUCACCAAGGCAACGAUACAUAGCCGACCUGAGAGGGUGAUCGGCCACACUGGGACUGAGACACGGCCCAAACUCCUACGGGAGGCAGCAGUAGGGAAUCUUCCGCAAUGGACGAAAGUCUGACGGAGCAACGCCGCGUGAGUGAAGAAGGUUUUCGGAUCGUAAAACUCUGUUGUAAGGGAAAAACAAGUACGUUAGUAACUGAACGUACCUUGACGGUACCUUACCAAAAAGCCACGGCUAACUACGUGCCAGCAGCCGCGGUAAUACGUAGGUGGCAAGCGUUAUCCGGAAUUAUUGGGCGUAAAGCGCGCGUAGGCGGUCUCUUAAGUCUGAUGUGAAAGCCCCCGGCUCAACCGGGGAGGGUCAUUGGAAACUGGGAGACUUGAGUGCAAAAAAGGAGAGUGGAAUUCCAUGUGUAGCGGUGAAAUGCGCAGAGAUAUGGAG